CCUACGGGCGGCAGCAGUGGGGAAUAUUGCACAAUGGGCGCAAGCCUGAUGCAGCCAUGCCGCGUGUGUGAAGAAGGCCUUCGGGUUGUAAAGCACUUUCAGCGGGGAGGAAGGCGGUGAGGUUAAUAACCUCAUCGAUUGACGUUACCCGCAGAAGAAGCACCGGCUAACUCCGUGCCAGCAGCCGCGGUAAUACGGAGGGUGCAAGCGUUAAUCGGAAUUACUGGGCGUAAAGCGCACGCAGGCGGUCUGUCAAGUCGGAUGUGAAAUCCCCAGGCUCAACCUGGGAACUGCAUUCGAAACUGGCAGGCUAGAGUCUUGUAGAGGGGGGUAGAAUUCCAGGUGUAGCGGUGAAAUGCGUAGAGAUCUGGAGGAAUACCGGUGGCGAAGGCGGCCCCCUGGACAAAGACUGACGCUCAGGUGCGAAAGCGUGGGGAGCAAACAGGAUUAGAUACCCCUGUAGUC
Molecule: ribosomal RNA, 465 nt
Filed under: uncultured Klebsiella sp.
Lineage: Bacteria; Pseudomonadati; Pseudomonadota; Gammaproteobacteria; Enterobacterales; Enterobacteriaceae
Description: bacterial SSU rRNA
Rfam family: Bacterial small subunit ribosomal RNA
Source: RNAcentral